This 535-nucleotide long non-coding RNA is filed under the name Hordeum vulgare. Its description in RNAcentral is "long non-coding RNA (HVUL_LNC010701)". Lineage: Eukaryota; Viridiplantae; Streptophyta; Magnoliopsida; Poales; Poaceae. The record is from RNAcentral.
GAGACCAAGCACAUCACAUAAAGGUUUUAGGUAUAGUUGAAACACUAGCACCAAGGUCACACAAAGCAUUGCAUUCAUCAUGCAACUUUCUAGGAAUAGAAACUUCAAGCUCAAGUUUCUCAUCAUAAUCUUUCACCAUAGCUUCCACUAUAUGUUGAGUAAAAGCUUUGUUUCACUCAUAAGCAUUACGUGAGCUAAUAAUGGAUUGCGGCAAGGAAAUACAUUCUACUAAAGAGAAAUUAUCAUAAUUGAAGUCCUUGUAAUCCAAAAUAGUGGGCACAUCAUUAGUAAAAGUUUUCACCUGUCCAAGCUCACAUUUCCCAGUUUUAGUAGUAAAAUCAUCACCCUCCAAGCAAAUGGGACACCUGUUUACUAUGGUUGACUCAUCUCCAGUCCCUUUAUCAUUAACAUUCACAGAAGCAAACAAAUAUUCAAUAGGAGAAGUACCAAUCAUUUUAAGAUCUUCAUCAUGAUUCCGGUACAAACCGGGUGGAAGAGCUUUUUCUAGGAAUUCCAUCUUAGCUUGCAACUUAGC